UACGAAGGGGGCUAGCGUUGCUCGGAAUCACUGGGCGUAAAGCGCACGUAGGCGGACUCUUAAGUCGGUGGUGAAAUCCUGGAGCUCAACUCCAGAACUGCCUUCGAUACUGGGAGUCUCGAGUUCGGGAGAGGUGAGUGGGACUGCGAGUGUAGAGGUGAAAUUCGUAGAUAUUCGCAAGAACACCAGUGGCGAAGGCGGCUCACUGGCCCGGUACUGACGCUGAGGUGCGAAAGCGUGGGGAGCAAACAGG
Molecule: ribosomal RNA, 253 nt
Filed under: uncultured bacterium
Lineage: Bacteria
Description: partial 16S ribosomal RNA
Rfam family: Bacterial small subunit ribosomal RNA
Source: RNAcentral